This 346-nucleotide long non-coding RNA is filed under the name Homo sapiens (human). Its description in RNAcentral is "HSALNT0080486". The record is from RNAcentral. Lineage: Eukaryota; Metazoa; Chordata; Mammalia; Primates; Hominidae.
CUUUAACAGCCGUAGUUCUUUGAUGAGUUAUUUUUCCCCCUUUUUCUCUGCUUCUGUACUUAAAGAGCACUGGUGGUUUGUAAUGCUCCAGGCAUGGUUCUGUAAAGAUAUGACAAAACUGAAACUCCCUUACAGCGAUAUGAAAAAACUGCCCAUCUGCAGAUGGUUUCACCCUGACUUCAAGCUUCAAAUUCCCCCAUUAACCAGCAGGCCAAGCCUACCAAAACUAUCCAUCAAUGAAAACAGCCACCAUGAGGCUCUCUGAUGAAACUGGCAGUGUCUUAAACAAGUUGAAAGGGUAAAAAUACACUAUACCUGUGGCCUUAAAUAAAAUAACGUGUGUACA